Molecule: ribosomal RNA, 256 nt
Filed under: uncultured bacterium
Lineage: Bacteria
Description: partial 16S ribosomal RNA
Rfam family: Bacterial small subunit ribosomal RNA
Source: RNAcentral
GACGAACCGUGCGAACGUUGUUCGGAAUCACUGGGUUUAAAGGGCGCGUAGGCGGGCUGUCAAGUCGGUGGUGAAAUCGUUCCGCUCAACGGGACAAUGGCCUUCGAUACUGGCGGUCUGGAGGGAGGUAGGGGCAUGCGGAACUUCCGGUGGAGCGGUGAAAUGUGUAGAUAUAUGGAAGAACACCAAUAACGGCGAAGGCAGUUAACUAUUCUGUUACUGACAUUGAGGCACGAAAGCGUGGGGAGCAAAACGG